This 119-nucleotide ribosomal RNA is filed under the name Lepisosteus oculatus (spotted gar). The record is from RNAcentral. Lineage: Eukaryota; Metazoa; Chordata; Actinopteri; Semionotiformes; Lepisosteidae.
GCCAGCAGCCAUAUCACCCUGCAACUCACAACUGGGAUCCCACUAAAGCUAAGCAGGUGUGAGCCUAGUCAGUACCUGGAUGUGAGACCUCCUGGGAAAAACUAAGGCUGCUGCUGGAA